Molecule: ribosomal RNA, 253 nt
Filed under: uncultured bacterium
Lineage: Bacteria
Description: partial 16S ribosomal RNA
Rfam family: Bacterial small subunit ribosomal RNA
Source: RNAcentral
UACGAAGGGGGCUAGCGUUGUUCGGAAUUACUGGGCGUAAAGCGCGCGCAGGCGGUUCUUCAAGUCAGAGGUGAAAGCCCAGAGCUCAACUCUGGAAUGGCCUUUGAGACUAGAGAACUUGGGUACGGGAGAGGUGAGUGGAAUUCCGAGUGUAGAGGUGAAAUUCGUAGAUAUUCGGAAGAACACCGGUGGCGAAGGCGGUCUGCUGGGCCAAGACUGACGCUGAGGCGCGACAGCGUGGGGAGCAAACAGG